UACAUUUCUUACCCUCUCCGUCUCUCCUUGCCUCCCCCCACCCCUGUGUCCCCUGUUCUCCAUGGACCACUGACAGCAUGCCUGCACAGAAAUGCGGCGUUACCUUCAAAUUAUGCAGGAGCGACUCGUGCUCGUCCGUGGGUUGGCUGCACGCCGCUCGACAUGUGUCAGGGCCGCCACGUCUCCGCUGAGCUAAUGAUGCUACACCGGACAGCCCACUGUCCUUCUGAGCGUGCGUGCGUGUGUGAGCCCAGACGUGACAUCGUCAGUAGAGACCCUCCAUCUGAUUAAAACAAAACCAAACCAGAAAAAGCAAGCGGGGGAAAAAGAAAAGAAAAAACCGGCACAGAUGCGUGUCAGGUUAAGCUGGCGAUGGGGUGGACAUGCUCGCGUUGUUUGUAAGGUGGGAAGGUGAAACAUAGUUUUGAGUGUCUGACAUGCAAGACAAGAAAAAAAAAAAAAUACUGGACAUCUUGUAAGGCAGGACAUUGUGUAAACUUUUCUGGACUUUGACUGAAAAAAAAAAAAAACCCUGGACUGAAAAAAUGGUGGUUUUGUGCUUUUGCAGACGCACUUAAAGAUGCCAGAGAAGCUGUGGGUGGAUUUCAGCCCGGGUUUUGGUGCAACUCCCCUCCGUUUUGCUAUCGAGUCCAAUACAGCGGCUGAGCGGAUGGGCUGAAGUGAAGCUGGUCGUCUCUGCUCGGCGUGAGUGAUGAGCAGUAGAAUAGACAGGCUGUCACAGCACACCUGUAGGCCUGGCAGCCGAGUCCAUCAUUGGGCUGAGCCUUCACAGAGAUUAAAAACACUGCAUCCAUUAGGCCUUGUGUCAGCCGUCAUUAUUCUAUAAAGAAGCGAUUUUGUCACAUCUACAUUCUUCAGGCCGCUAUCCGCACGCAGAUGAAUAAGCGGGAUGUUCCAUCUCCAAACACGGCUCACUUUUGACAGGAACACAACCAUUUGUGACGCCAUCUCCCCAAUACUUCACACAUCCAUUGGGAAGGAAGCAUCAAAUAAGUCUUAAUGCAAUGAUCCCGCAGUCCAUCACCUGAUGGGACUUUAAGUUUUCCAGUCAUAUUUAUUCUCGGAAAUGUACGUUUCGUCCUAGAGCUGUCAUUCAAACGGGCUCACAAUUUAUUCUGCCAUGUGCAUUUAUCUGACAG
Molecule: long non-coding RNA, 1160 nt
Organism: Cyprinus carpio carpio
Lineage: Eukaryota; Metazoa; Chordata; Actinopteri; Cypriniformes; Cyprinidae
Source: Ensembl